UUUUGGUUCAAAGAUAAGUUCUUUAAAAACACCGUAACCGGCAGCAGCCGCAAUUCCAAGGCCCGCCAGGAUAACAACGCUAUAUGAAGCUCCUUCUGUGAAUGUCAUUGGCUUCUCGGGUAUAUUAUCGUGACGCUUUCGAUGCAAACGAUCUCACUUCAAACGAACCAACAUUACCACCUGCAUUGAUCGAAUUAACCUGAAAUCUCGACAGUGUAGAGCCUAAAGAUCCUAAAUUUCCGGUUUUUCUUCUGUUUCCAACCGUCGCACCGGUUGCGAACCGGUGAACGCCGGUGGAAGUUAACGGCGACCGGAAAGAUGGAGCGGAGGACAAAGAUCUACUACAUAAAGCACGUAAUUUGUAUAAAGAACGUGAAGAAGAUCGGAUCAUGUUGUUGAAU
This 401-nucleotide long non-coding RNA is filed under the name Helianthus annuus (common sunflower). Its description in RNAcentral is "hypothetical non coding rna". Lineage: Eukaryota; Viridiplantae; Streptophyta; Magnoliopsida; Asterales; Asteraceae. The record is from RNAcentral.